Molecule: long non-coding RNA, 678 nt
Filed under: Nicotiana benthamiana
Lineage: Eukaryota; Viridiplantae; Streptophyta; Magnoliopsida; Solanales; Solanaceae
Description: long non-coding RNA (NBEN_LNC022431)
Source: RNAcentral
AUUAUGUCUUGCUUUGUUAAGGUCGUGUUGUAGUCAACAUAGCUUGUGUGGUUUUGUAUAGCAAAGCAUUUUGAUAUUCUCUCUUGGGAGCUUUUUUUUGGUCCUAAGGUUCAGAGUUUUCCUUGUUAAGUCUAUAUUUGACAACGAUUCAAUAAUUUAAUGAUAAUGAUAGUGUUAUGCCAUUUAAUUACUCUUAUGUUUUGUUACUGAGUUGAGUCUGAACCUACUUGAGGUGUUAAGUCUAUAUUUGACAAUGAUUCAACAAUUUAAUGAUAAUGAUAGUGUUAUGCCAUUUAAUUACUCUUAUGUUUUGUUACUGAGUUGAGUCUGAACCUACUUGAGGUGAAUGAGCUUUUUUCACCCCCAGCUUGAAAGGUGGCUAUGGGGUUUUUUGUUGACACUCCACUCUGAACUGCUGAGUGAUGAGUUUGAGGCAGUUCUUUAAGUUAUUUAAUUUAUCGAAUUAAAAAGGACAGCCCGGUGCACUAAGCUCCCGCUAUGCGCAGGGUCCGGGGAAGGACCAGACCACAAGGGUCUAUUGUACGCAACCUUACCCUGUAUUUCUGCAAGAAGUUAUUUUCACGGUUCGAACUCGUGACCUCCUGGUCACAUGACAAUACUAAUGCCCCCUUCAAUUUGCCGAAUUAGUCACAGAAAUGAAAGAUUAUUUUGAACGUG